This 120-nucleotide ribosomal RNA is filed under the name Triticum aestivum (bread wheat). RNAcentral's name for it is "partial small subunit ribosomal RNA". The record is from RNAcentral. Lineage: Eukaryota; Viridiplantae; Streptophyta; Magnoliopsida; Poales; Poaceae.
AGAUUCUGGGAGGACCACUGGUUUGGCAGUGCUACUUUGGCUACCCAAUACUGGGAACUGUAUAACCUAGCUAAUGAGCAUAAUGCCACUAUUGAUAAAAUAUGGGAUGGCUAUACCCUG